UUACCUUUUCUUUUGAGGGUUGUUUAAAUUUUCCUGAGUCUCUGUAGGCUUAAGAACUUUGAUCUUGUCCUAAGAGUUCUGAGUAUUAUGUUGCAAGACUUUUGAAGCCAUUAACAUUCUCUGGAGAAUUUCGAGUUUUUCUUUCCCACUCGAUUAGCCCAGUGAGGUCCAGAUGACAACUUCCGCUUUGCCUUCUGUGGACAGUUGUUCCGAGGUGUCUCUCCCCUUGAGUGUGGAACCAAGUUUUCAGGAAUGGCAAAUUGGAUGCAUCUUGAACGCACUUCUUCCAGUGACAGCGGCUGCUUGAAAUCCUGAGAUGAGAAGGAUUCUGAGGACACUUGGCUCAGUAGAGGGUUACACAGCUGAAAAUGAUACAGCCGUGCACUCAAGAAACCAUCGACUACUGAAAAAACAGAUAAAUAAACAGGCAGCUAGACUAAAAUAUAAAUGUUAUGAUAGAAGUAGGUGAUUCCUAACUCGUUAAUCUUUUGCCUUUUGUGUCUCUUGGGAUUUGGGAACCUUGACAUCAAUAAAAUCCCUAUAUCUGGUGGACUUCCUUUUUAG
Long non-coding RNA from Acinonyx jubatus (cheetah), 564 nucleotides. RefSeq lists it as uncharacterized. The record is from RefSeq and is a predicted model, not a curated record. Lineage: Eukaryota; Metazoa; Chordata; Mammalia; Carnivora; Felidae. The transcript is spliced from 3 exons.